UACAGAGGGUGCAAGCGUUAAUCGGAAUUACUGGGCGUAAAGCGUGCGCAGGCGGUUCGCCAAGUCAGGUGUGAAAUCCCCGGGCUUAACCUGGGAAUUGCGCUUGAAACUAGCGGGCUUGAGUGCGGCAGAGGGGGGUGGAAUUCCACGUGUAGCAGUGAAAUGCGUAGAGAUGUGGAGGAACACCGAUGGCGAAGGCAGCCCCCUGGGUCGACACUGACGCUCAUGCACGAAAGCGUGGGGAGCAAACAGG
This 253-nucleotide ribosomal RNA is filed under the name uncultured bacterium. Its description in RNAcentral is "partial 16S ribosomal RNA". It matches the Rfam family "Bacterial small subunit ribosomal RNA", at positions 524 to 776 of the family's 1533-position model. The record is from RNAcentral.